UGUUACUCAUAACUAAAUAUUUUUGGAACAGUAGUAAUAAUGAAAUUUAACGGAUUUGGCGGCAAGAUAGCCAUUCAGAGGAACCUGCCCUAUAAGCGAUAAGCCACGAACAACCCUACUCCCUAUAGUUUAUCAGCUUGUAUACCGCUGUUGUCAGUUAGUUUCCUUAGAAAACUUUCAUCUAUGAUAAAAUCAAUGACUUCAAGUAAAGGUGCAGCUCAUGAGAGAGACAGAGGUGGGUUACAAUUAAAAGAAUAAAACGGAAAAAGAUUUUGAAACAACUUUUGAAGGUGGAUUUGAAAGUAAAACUUUAAAAAGUUUGACGAGAGCUCUAUCUUGU
This 340-nucleotide ribosomal RNA is filed under the name Austrominius covertus. RNAcentral's name for it is "partial 12S ribosomal RNA". Lineage: Eukaryota; Metazoa; Arthropoda; Thecostraca; Balanomorpha; Elminiidae. The record is from RNAcentral.